RNAcentral lists this unclassified non-coding RNA (332 nucleotides) under soil metagenome. RNAcentral's name for it is "partial contains 5.8S ribosomal RNA, internal transcribed spacer 2, and large subunit ribosomal RNA". The stretch from base 1 to 120 matches the Rfam family "5.8S ribosomal RNA", at positions 35 to 154 of the family's 154-position model. The record is from RNAcentral.
GAUGAAGAACGCAGCGAAAUGCGAUACGUAAUGUGAAUUGCAGAUUUCAGUGAAUCAUCGAAUCUUUGAACGCACAUUGCGCCCGCUAGCAUUCUGGCGGGCAUGCCUGUUCGAGCGUCAUUUCAACCAUCAAGCCCUAGGCUUGCGUUGGAGCCCUGCGGCUGCCGCAGGCUCCCAAAUCCAGUGGCGGGCUCGUCGUCGUACCGAGUGCAGUAAACAUCCUCGCUCAGGGAACGUGACGGGUUCUUGCCGUGAAACCCCCCACAUAUCAAGGUUGACCUCGGAUCAGGUAGGAAUACCCGCUGAACUUAAGCAUAUCAAUAAGCGGAGGA